GAUGAAGAACGUAGCGAAAUGCGAUACUUGGUGUGAAUUGCAGAAUCCCGUGAACCAUCGAGUCUUUGAACGCAAGUUGCGCCUCAAGCCAUUAGGUUGAGGGCACGUCUGCCUGGGCGUCACAUAUCGUUGACUGAUGCCAGUUUCCUCGUGAUGGGUGACUGUGCAGGGCGAAUGAUGGCUUCCCGUGAGCAUUGUUGCCUCAUGGUUGGUUGAAAAUUGAGUCCUUGGUAGGGAGCGCCGUGAUAGAUGGUGGUUGAGUGACGAACGAGACCCAAUCAUGUGAGACCCCUACCGAAUUUGGCCUUCAUGACCCACAUGCGUCUUUGGAACGCUCAUGACGAGACCUCAGGUCAGGCGGGGCUACCCGCUGAGUUUAAGCAUAUCAAUAAGCGGAGGA
RNAcentral lists this unclassified non-coding RNA (400 nucleotides) under soil metagenome. Its description in RNAcentral is "partial contains 5.8S ribosomal RNA, internal transcribed spacer 2, and large subunit ribosomal RNA". The stretch from base 1 to 122 matches the Rfam family "5.8S ribosomal RNA", at positions 35 to 154 of the family's 154-position model. The record is from RNAcentral.